RNAcentral lists this ribosomal RNA (869 nucleotides) under uncultured archaeon. RNAcentral describes it as "bacterial SSU rRNA". It matches the Rfam family "Archaeal small subunit ribosomal RNA", at positions 1 to 878 of the family's 1478-position model. The record is from RNAcentral.
CUCCGGGUUGAUCCUGCCGGACCCGACUGCUAUCAGAGUGGGACUAAGCCAUGCGAGUCAACAUAGCAAUAUGUGGCAUACGGCUCAGUAACACGUAGUCAACAUGCCCAGGGGACGUGGAUAACCUCGGGAAACUGAGGAUAAACCGCGAUAGGUCAUCACUUCUGGAAUGGGUAAUGACUUAAAUCUAUAUGGCCCCUGGAUUGGACUGCGGCCGAUCAGGCUGUUGGUGAGGUAAUGGCCCACCAAACCUGUAACCGGUACGGGCUCUGAGAGGAGGAGCCCGGAGAUGGGCACUGAGACAAGGGCCCAGGCCCUAUGGGGCGCAGCAGGCGCGAAACCUCUGCAAUAGGCGAAAGCUUGACAGGGUUACUCUGAGUGAUUUCCGUUAAGGAGAUCUUUUGGCACCUCUAAAAAUGGUGCAGAAUAAGGGGUGGGCAAGUCUGGUGUCAGCCGCCGCGGUAAUACCAGCACCCCGAGUGGUCGGGACGUUUAUUGGGCCUAAAGCAUCCGUAGCCGGUUCUACAAGUCUUCCGUUAAAUCCACCUGCUUAACAGAUGGGCUGCGGAAGAUACUAUAGAGCUAGGAGGCGGGAGAGGCAAGCGGUACUCGAUGGGUAGGGGUAAAAUCCGUUGAUCCAUUGAAGACCACCAGUGGCGAAGGCGGCUUGCCAGAACGCGCUCGACGGUGAGGGAUGAAAGCUGGGGGAGCAAACCGGAUUAGAUACCCGGGUAGUCCCAGCUGUAAACGAUGCAGACUCGGUGAUGAGUUGGCUUAUUGCUAACUCAGUGCCGCAGGGAAGCCGUUAAGUUUGCCGCCUGGGGAGUACGGUCGCAAGACUGAAACUUAAAGGAAUUGGCGGGGGAGCA